GUCAGAGUACAGCUGCACUCACAGCAAAAAAUUGCUGGGAUCAAAUAUAAAACAACUGUUUCACUUUGUCAGAAUUGCAUUGAAUAUUUGCCUGUUACUGCUUUGAUCACUAUAUUUUCUCCUUGUGUGGCUGUGGCAUUUCUUGGAGGGGAUCUAAAAGCCCAAGAGCCAGAUGUUUGGACCUGGGCAGAUGCUACAGGUUGCAAGAUUAGAGGGAACUCAUACAGUGCAGUAUUGCGACUUCUUUCUUCCUUUCUGCACAUCAGAUCAAGUAAACCAAAGAGUGUCUGAACUGCUGCAGAGAAAUGUGAAAAAUAUGCUACAGCCUCACAUUACCUGGAGCCCACAGGCUCCUCUCAUCACUUGAAAGCCAGGAAGAGCAGGGCUGUACCCACCCAUGCUAGGGGCACAGUUUUGCCUUUAGAACUCUGUAGUUAAAAUAUAAAUAUGUUUCCUAGAUUCCUCCUUAUGAUAGCAUGAAGAUACCUGAAACUUUGCAGUAUCUAACUGAUACUGGAGUAUUCUGCUGCUUACACUUGGCAAGCCCGUUCAUUACUAGUUCUUCCAAUUUUCAUGCUUUCACAGAGAUUUGGCCCUCUAAUCAGUUUUGUGUUUCUGCUAGUUUUUCAUUACAGCUAUUAUUUUACUUUUGAAGAAAUCACAUAAACUACUUCAGUGCAAAGAUGUCUCAAUGUAAAUCAGUCUCCCUGUUUUUGAGUUUGCAGUUUUGGCAGUAUUGGUUUUCGAAGAGAUCAGAGACUUUCAAGUCUUUAAUAUACAACUGUUAAUUAGAUUCUUCUGCAAUUAAAUCUAAAUAAAGACUUUUUAAACAUAUUUAUCUCUGUUAUG
This 849-nucleotide long non-coding RNA is filed under the name Parus major (Great Tit). Its description in RNAcentral is "lncRNA (ENSPMJG00000005463.1)". Lineage: Eukaryota; Metazoa; Chordata; Aves; Passeriformes; Paridae. The record is from RNAcentral.